AGUGAACGCUGGCGGUAGGCCUAAUACAUGCAAGUCGAACGGCAGCACAGUAAGAGCUUGCUCUUACGGGUGGCGAGUGGCGGACGGGUGAGGAAUACAUCGGAAUCUACUUUUUCGUGGGGGAUAACGUAGGGAAACUUACGCUAAUACCUCAUACGACCUACGGGUGAAAGCAGGUGAUCUUCGGACCUUUCGCGAUUGUAUUAGCCGAUUUCGGAUUAGCUAGUUGGCGGGGUAAAGGCCCACCAAGGCGACGAUCCGUAGCUGGUCUGAGAGGAUGAUCAGCCACACUGGAACUGAGACACGGUCCAGACUCCUACGGGAGGCAGCAGUGGGGAAUAUUGGACAAUGGGCGAAAGCAUGAUCCAGCCAUACCGCGUGGGGGAAGAAGGCCUUCGGGUUGUAAAGCCCUUUUGUUGGGAAAGAAAAGCAGCAGGUUAAUACCCCGCUGUUCUGACGGUACCCAAAGAAUAAGCACCGGCUAACUUCGUG
This 492-nucleotide ribosomal RNA is filed under the name uncultured bacterium. RNAcentral describes it as "partial 16S ribosomal RNA". It matches the Rfam family "Bacterial small subunit ribosomal RNA", at positions 29 to 507 of the family's 1533-position model. The record is from RNAcentral.